UUUUUUUUUAAAUUCUUUUUAAAUAGAAUUUCUUGGUAAGUAACACAGCACUGCAAAAUGUUUUCUCAGGUAACCUAAAAUGUGCAUAAUUGAAUUAUAUAAAUGGUCAAAUCAAAUACAAAUAGCACAUUCAAGUUAAAAGUUUCACACUUUUUGCGUGUGCACUGUACAGGUCUGAUAUAAAGAAUGUUUUUGCUCAGGUGGCUGAAAUGUCAUUCUCCACCCAACAGAGAAAAGUUUUGCUCAGCAAGAAAAAAAAGCCAAAAAAAAAAAAAAAGAGGAUAUGGGAGUUAUAGGGUUUGCAGGUGUUUUUCUUGUGUAUUACUUUUGAAGUUGUUAUGGCAUUCCAAUGCAGCUCUGAGAACUUUUUUUGUUUGUUUUGUUUUUGUUUUUUGUUUUUUGCUUGAAAACACUUUUCACCUACCUAACAAUAAAAACUUAAAGACAUCAAUCCAUCCUGUCUGAAUAUUUGGGAUCAUAAUGUGACGUGAUGUAUUCAUUCAGGGCUACUCAUUUCAAACUUUUUAUCAUUUUAAAGUUACAUUGUAAUGGAAGUUGCGACAGAUCUUUUCUUCCGUAUAGUGAUGUACAUCCAGGUGAAAAAGAUUAUUGCUUGUUCAGUCCAUUGGUUGUUGACUAGAUGGAAGCAGAUCUGAUGAGAGCUUGCUUGGUUGUAAGAAAGGGGCGGGGUUUAAGCAGACUUAAUGAUUAGAGAAAUCUGGCAUACAACACCAGAGAAAAGUCUGUUGAUUUGUUAAAUUAUUCCCAAUAGUCUAAUCUCUUCAUUUCAUAGCUUUUCUUUUGGUUGCGCUGGUUUCAGUAGUAUAUGUGUAUAUAAGAGCUUUUGUCCAAUCAUAUUUCAGCAAUCAUGUGUUGCCAGGGUCAAAGAAAUCUGGCUUCAGAAUCAACAGUGCAGGCACCUGUAGCUUAAAAUAAAUGGCAAUGAAACCAUUGGUCUAACCAGUCAAGUAAUGAGGUGGCUACAUCCCGUUUAUUUGCUGUCCUGUGGUCUGUGAUAACAGCAAAUCACAAUGGCUUAUUUACCAACAGAUAAAGAAGUAUGGGUUCAUUUUGAUAAAAUAUUUCUGGUAAGUAUUGAUGUGCAUUUACAUUUUUAAUAUCUUACUAAGCAAAAAGUUAACUUAUUGUGCAAGACUUUGAUUUGCCCGAAAAACUUUCGGUAUGUUUACCACCUAAAGCUAAUACAUGAACAAGAUGUUUUUGAUUUUUGAUUUAAGUAACAGUUAUGUGAAUCUAGAGUGUUUACGCUGCACUAAACUUUGACGAUCAACACUCUUAUCCACAAACAAACAGAUGAGGAAGAGGACCCCUGAUGAGGGUCCAGCAUAUACAAGUAGAAAGUAACCAAGAGAAGUAUCUUCGCUGAAGAAAUGUCAGCUGUUAAUCCUUAGACACCUGUGAACACCAAGCAGUCUCUUGAGUCCAAGACAUCAAGUGCAUCGUCUUUAUUAUACUUCUCUGACAUAACAGUUAGAGCUAAAGAGGAAGUUCAAGUAAUUGUCUGCAUUUACCAUUAUACUGUGUAAUUUUUUGCAACAACAGUGGGAAUCAUAACUGAAGAGACAAACUGACCAACAGGAAGCUUUGGAUCUGCUGAAUAUGUAUUUUUCUAGCAUUUUAUUGUGGUGUUCACUUUUAUUUUUCUGCACAAUGAUUUGCUCUUUACAGAAAUGAAAGCUCCCAAGUAAAGAACUCACCAAAUUAUGAUGUGAAAAGACAUGUUAUUUAAAACAAUGUUUAUAUUUAGCUUAAGCUUUACUUAAAUUUUACAAUCCAAGUUUAAGUAAAUGCAUGGGUAAUUUUGCAAAAUGUGUUAAAUAUUGUAUCUACACUUAGGCUAUUGUAUAACUGUUUUUUUUUUCUGUAAUUGCAUGUUUUUGUAAAUAAAUGUAUUAUUUUGUAAACGUUCCUCC
Long non-coding RNA from Cyprinus carpio carpio, 1934 nucleotides. The record is from Ensembl. NCBI's taxonomy places the organism in Eukaryota, Metazoa, Chordata, Actinopteri, Cypriniformes, Cyprinidae.